UACGGAGGGUCCAAGCGUUAUCCGGAAUCAUUGGGUUUAAAGGGUCCGUAGGCGGUUUAGUAAGUCAGUGGUGAAAGCCCAUCGCUCAACGGUGGAACGGCCAUUGAUACUGCUAGACUUGAAUUAUUAGGAAGUAACUAGAAUAUGUAGUGUAGCGGUGAAAUGCUUAGAUAUUACAUGGAAUACCAAUUGCGAAGGCAGGUUACUACUAAUUGAUUGACGCUGAUGGACGAAAGCGUGGGUAGCGAACAGG
Molecule: ribosomal RNA, 253 nt
Filed under: uncultured bacterium
Lineage: Bacteria
Description: partial 16S ribosomal RNA
Rfam family: Bacterial small subunit ribosomal RNA
Source: RNAcentral